GAGGAGACAUGGGAAGGAGGUGAAGAUGGCCGACGAGUGGUCCCAGAGGCUGUAAACUGGAGGAGAGAUGGGAAGGCGGUCGAAGUCGGUGUAAGAGAGUCCUCGGGCCUGUUCCGUUCAAACACUGUUGAAGCAAGACACAGGUCCGCGGG
This is a long non-coding RNA of Ochotona curzoniae (black-lipped pika), 152 nucleotides long. RefSeq lists it as uncharacterized. Lineage: Eukaryota; Metazoa; Chordata; Mammalia; Lagomorpha; Ochotonidae. The record is from RefSeq and is a predicted model, not a curated record. The transcript has 3 exons.